UGAUUUAAAAGCCCUACUGACAUACAUUGGUCUUUUUGAACGUGUUUCGACGAGGUUUUCUACAAGGAUUCAGUGAGAAGAGACUCCUGGCUGCAGCAAUAAAUCUGGUUUACUAGUCGUUUAAUGAAAGUGUUAAAAUCACAGCAAGCACAUCGUGGUUGUAAACUUUAGCCACUAGCCAUUUUAGCCAGUUGUGGCUAAAAAAAAGUGAAUGAUGGACACAGCUAGGGCGGACAUAGCCUAUGCUUUUCAUGGUUAAAGUGCCGAAAACUAAUUCAGGUCAAGUAAAGUCAGUGGAGGAGGAUGAAAACGGCAGGAUUGACAGGUGGCUGAGUCUUUUUCUGCAGUUACACCAUUACGCCAGUUGGUGGCGUCAAGUGACUGUCUUUGAGACAAUGUGCAGGCUCUGUCAGUCUCAGUAAUAACGAUGUUGGACAUGUGGGUAUUUAUUACUUAGUACUGAAAUAAUGUCUUAUCCUCAAUACUGUUGGUGCAUGUCGGGGAAGUUUUUAACUUUAUAGCAGA
This 525-nucleotide long non-coding RNA is filed under the name Sinocyclocheilus anshuiensis. RNAcentral's name for it is "lncRNA (ENSSANG00000051564.1)". Lineage: Eukaryota; Metazoa; Chordata; Actinopteri; Cypriniformes; Cyprinidae. The record is from RNAcentral.